ACUCCUACGGGAGGCAGCAGUGGGGAAUAUUGCACAAUGGGCGAAAGCCUGAUGCAGCCAUGCCGCGUGUGUGAAGAAGGCCUUCGGGUUGUAAAGCACUUUCAGCGAGGAGGAAAGGUUGACGGUUAAUACCCGUCAGCUGUGACGUUACUCGCAGAAGAAGCACCGGCUAACUCCGUGCCAGCAGCCGCGGUAAUACGGAGGGUGCGAGCGUUAAUCGGAAUUACUGGGCGUAAAGCGCAUGCAGGCGGCCAAGUCAGUCAGAUGUGAAACGCCCCGGGCUUAACCUGGGAAUUGCAUUUGAAACUGCUUGGCUAGAGUCCUUGAGAGGGGGUUAGAAUUUCAGGUGUAGCGGUGAAAUGCGUAGAGAUCUGAAGGAAUACCAGUGGCGAAGGCGGCCCCCUGGCAAGAGACUGACGCUCAGAUGCGAAAGCGUGGGAGCAAACAGGAUUAGAUACCCCGU
Molecule: ribosomal RNA, 463 nt
Filed under: uncultured bacterium
Lineage: Bacteria
Description: bacterial SSU rRNA
Rfam family: Bacterial small subunit ribosomal RNA
Source: RNAcentral